GAAAGGCGCUUUUGCGUCACUGAUGGAUGGACCCGCGGUGCAUUAGCUAGUUGGUGAGGUAACGGCUCACCAAGGCCACGAUGCAUAGCCGACCUGAGAGGGUGAUCGGCCACACUGGGACUGAGACACGGCCCAGACUCCUACGGGAGGCAGCAGUAGGGAAUCUUCGGCAAUGGACGAAAGUCUGACCGAGCAACGCCGCGUGAGUGAAGAAGGUUUUCGGAUCGUAAAACUCUGUUGUUAGAGAAGAACAAGGAUGAGAGUAAAAUGUUCAUCCCUUGACGGUAUCUAACCAGAAAGCCACGGCUAACUACGUGCCAGCAGCCGCGGUAAUACGUAGGUGGCAAGCGUUGUCCGGAUUUAUUGGGCGUAAAGCGAGCGCAGGCGGUUUCUUAAGUCUGAUGUGAAAGCCCCCGGCUCAACCGGGGAGGGUCAUUGGAAACUGGGAGACUUGAGUGCAGAAGAGGAGAGUGGAAUUCCAUGUGUAGCGGUGAAAUGCGUAGAUAUAUGGAGGAACACCAGUGGCGAAGGCGGCUCUCUGGUCUGUAACUGACGCUGAGGCUCGAAAGCGUGGGGAGCGAACAGGAUUAGAUACCCUGGUAGUCCACGCCGUAAACGAUGAGUGCUAAGUGUUGGAGGGUUUCCGCC
Molecule: ribosomal RNA, 648 nt
Filed under: uncultured bacterium
Lineage: Bacteria
Description: bacterial SSU rRNA
Rfam family: Bacterial small subunit ribosomal RNA
Source: RNAcentral